This 586-nucleotide long non-coding RNA is filed under the name Parus major (Great Tit). RNAcentral's name for it is "lncRNA (ENSPMJG00000013972.1)". Lineage: Eukaryota; Metazoa; Chordata; Aves; Passeriformes; Paridae. The record is from RNAcentral.
UUCUGCUGUCUUUAGGGUUUUGAUGUGAGGUGCUCCUUUCAGUCUCUCCUUAGCUGACAGCUGCAUUUCAUGGUCUCAUGUCUACUCCAGAAACAAAAGCGACCUUUUCAUCUCAACAACCAAGAGUGGAUGACUUCCCUGGAAGCACCUCCUGAUUCAUGAGCGUUCAUUUGUCCUGGCUUGCCUCUUGUCUCUCUGUCCCCCUGCAGGACAAGGUGCCUGGAGCUUGGGUCCAUCCCUCUGUGUGACCUUGGCUUUGUGAGUGCCAAAUCUGUGAGGAGAGGGUCUUCCUGAGCUGAACUUCCCAAGCUGCAUGGAGGAGAGCCCAGUGCAGCCUUUAUUUCCAGGCAGAGGGAGCUGUGACAUUCAACUCCAGAGCUCUUUCUCCUCUUUCCUGGUCCCUUGAGAGGCACUUGCACUUCAAGAGUCUUCUUUUGAGAAGGGGAAACUUCAUCAAAGGAAACCAUUUUGACAAAUGUGGACUGCACUGAAGGAGAUGACUAAAUAGAGGUUGGAAGCCUAAAUUUCACUCCCAUUUAGACUCUUUUCUCUUGGAAUAAAAACUAAAAGCCUAUUUUUGGUUUCA